CCGCGACCGCGGAUGCCUCACCUUCCGGCUGACGCAGAUGUUGGCCGGCCAUGGGUGUUUUGGCCGGUACCUCUUCGAGAUAGCCGGAAGGGAACCGACGGCGCAGUGCCACCACUGCGCGGACCGCGACGAGGAAGACCCAGCGGAACAUAUAUUGGCGCGUUGCUCUGGAUUCGACGAGCAACGCGCCGCCCUCGUCGCGGUCAUAGGAGAGGACCUCUCCGACGCGUCCUGGAAGGCGAUGCUCGACUUCUGCGAGUCCACCAUCUCACAGAAGGAGGCGGCGGAGCGAGAGAGGGAGAGCUCUUCCCUUUCCGCACCGAUCCGUCGCCGUCGAGCCGGGGGCCGGAGGCGGGAAUACGCCCGUACGCCCGUACGUCCCGGCCCCUGUAGGUGGCGGCCUCCCCCCGGUGAAGGUCAAGGGGCGACCUGAGGGGGUAGAGGCCGCGCGGCGCGUUACCAGCACUCUAGCGCGCCGCCGUGGAGUAAUAGAGCGACCGGUUGGCGGUGUAUCGCGUCCCGACCCGGCAGGCUGGUUCUGGUCCAGCAGGGUAUUCCGGGACACCAGCGGCACCGUCUGGGCGGUCUGACCAACCAAGUACCUGUACCUGUACCUGUACCAAGAAGGCCGACGUUUCAUGAAGGUGAUGGUUUGCUUAUUAGAUAUAAAAUAAUUAAUAAUUGAGAAUUUAAUUGUUUUUAUGAUCGAACAAUCACCAAUAGUUGUCGAACAAACGAUAAUUGAUCAAAAUGAAUUAAUCUGAGCGAUAAAAAUAAAGAUGUCUAGUAAGGGGGCCCACUUAACGGUGAUCAUUUGUUUAAUUAAUUAUAAAUGAAUAAAAGACGAACAAACAAUUUUUACAUUCGAACAUUAAAUACAAAAUAAUACAAAACAAAAAAAAAUAUCCGAAAAUAAAAAAAAGGGGGCCAAAUUUACAGAGCCAAAAUUCUAUGACAUUUUACGUUCCUUUGUACUUUACAAUUGUUCUGAUCAUUUCUGAUGCUCGAUUGGUGACUCUUGGUGAACUAUUGGCUUGGUUGGUUUGUGAUUUUCAGCUUGAUGAAACAAGAAAACGACACGAGCAGGAGGUCGGAAGAGACGUUUACAUCUGUGGCGUUUAAGAACGCACAUUUUUAUGAUGCGUAAGUCGGAACGCACGAGAGGUACGAAAAAGGAUAUAGUCUGUGACACGAGACCUUUUUACCGCCAAAUAUUUAAAACAUAAAAAUAAUUUAUAAUGUGUUAAAUAACUAAUAUACCUGAUAUAAUUAACUGGAAUUGUUUAUGCCGCUACAUCAAUAUAAUUUAUAUUGUUUCAACUGUGGUGUUAAUUACUUAAAACACGACUACGGCGAAAUAAAGAAGGGACUCUAUACGAACUCCCUCACAUCCAUAAGUGCAGCCUGUGACAUAAUGACAUCAAUUCUGCAUUUUGUUUACAUAGUGUGGUGCAGAUUAAUUAAAAGUUUAAAGAGUCAACUACUAAUUCGUCCCUCAGUUCCAACCAUGGAGUUAAUAAGUACCUAGUAACUCUAUGGUUCCAACUCAGUUCACAGACAGUGAUCCGACCAUAGAUUAUACUUUUAUUAAACUUGAGAGAUCCGACAUGUCAACAGAAUUGUGAUCAAAACAAAAGUAAUAUAGCUUGUAACUGGAAAGAAACAAAAACGCAAAAUACAAGAAGAUACAUACUCCAUAAAGGCACAAGAGCAGAUUUUACAAAUCUUGAAGUUGUUGGUACCAGCAGCUUGCAAUACAACAGCCAAGAGCGUGACGAACGACUCUUUUACAAAACAUGAUACGGAUAACAAGAUAAGUAUAAUGUAACGGACGUGACGUCAGCUGUCAUGCCCUGCCGCCAGCCAAGCCGCCAAGCCAUGCUGUUAACACGCCCCCUUCCGCCACCGCCACCGCCGCCGCCGCCAGCCAAAGCCAACGAAGGGGGGAUAGUGUUAAUAAAACAAGCCGUGCCAGCCUUUCUACCUGCUUUCUGCUUUCUCGCACAAAUAAAAGAACUUGUCGUUA
Molecule: long non-coding RNA, 2026 nt
Organism: Bombyx mori (domestic silkworm)
Lineage: Eukaryota; Metazoa; Arthropoda; Insecta; Lepidoptera; Bombycidae
Exons: 3
Source: RefSeq, a predicted model, not a curated record